GCUCUCAGAAUGUUGAUGGAGGUGAUGAUUGCAGGGGCGAUGCUUCUGGAGAAUAGCUCCCCCAUCUUCCCCAGGGCCUGGGCAGAGAGAGGUGGAGCUCGGAGUCCCCCCAGUCCUCCCGCGGGUGCUGGCGUCUGCAGCGCCAUCGGGACGGGAUCCACGGCGCAGCUCCCUCCUCCAGAGGCCGAAAGCUCAGCCUCCAGUUUCGUGCAGGGUGAUCACCUUUCCAGGGCAAUACAAGCACUUCCCAAGAGCAGCUGGUGAAGAUGGCGCAGAAGCAAGGACAAGGGUGCAGUGAAAAGUUUGGUGCAUCGAUCCAGCUUCCGGACACGUGAUCUUCUACCCUGCCCCACGGCAAGAAGAGUUUGGUGAUUUUGCUGCUCUGCUCUCUCAAGGGUGUUGCAGGCUGCGUAGCAGGGAGUGAAGCCCUUGUCGCUGCUCAUCAGACACUUUCCUACAGAAUUCUCCCUGCAGUGAUAAAAUUAGACUGGUGUUAGUGAGCUGCCAAGUAGAGCAGGACAGCACGAAGACUGAACGUGUAAGAAGAUGUGGGGUGCAAUGGAGAACCUGGCAGGAGCAUCCGACGCACACGUGCACAAGUUUUGCUUUUUGCUUGGAUUGAAACUCAAAAGUUGUAAGGAAUUUGGGAAUGAGAUGGGACGUUUCAGAAGAAGAGGAAGGAGGAGAAGAAGUUGUUGUUACAGUCCUGGCAAAAUCCUUUGUUCUAGCUAAUAAAAGAAGUUAGUUUAAAAAAAAAAAAUUAAAAAAAAAAAAAAAAAAAAAAAGAA
Molecule: long non-coding RNA, 788 nt
Organism: Haemorhous mexicanus (house finch)
Lineage: Eukaryota; Metazoa; Chordata; Aves; Passeriformes; Fringillidae
Exons: 3
Source: RefSeq, a predicted model, not a curated record